This 664-nucleotide ribosomal RNA is filed under the name Escherichia coli. Its description in RNAcentral is "partial 23S ribosomal RNA". It matches the Rfam family "Bacterial large subunit ribosomal RNA", at positions 1977 to 2640 of the family's 2925-position model. The record is from RNAcentral. Lineage: Bacteria; Pseudomonadati; Pseudomonadota; Gammaproteobacteria; Enterobacterales; Enterobacteriaceae.
UAAGUUCCGACCUGCACGAAUGGCGUAAUGAUGGCCAGGCUGUCUCCACCCGAGACUCAGUGAAAUUGAACUCGCUGUGAAGAUGCAGUGUACCCGCGGCAAGACGGAAAGACCCCGUGAACCUUUACUAUAGCUUGACACUGAACAUUGAGCCUUGAUGUGUAGGAUAGGUGGGAGGCUUUGAAGUGUGGACGCCAGUCUGCAUGGAGCCGACCUUGAAAUACCACCCUUUAAUGUUUGAUGUUCUAACGUGGACCCGUAAUCCGGGUUGCGGACAGUGUCUGGUGGGUAGUUUGACUGGGGCGGUCUCCUCCUAAAGAGUAACGGAGGAGCACGAAGGUUGGCUAAUCCUGGUCGGACAUCAGGAGGUUAGUGCAAUGGCAUAAGCCAGCUUGACUGCGAGCGUGACGGCGCGAGCAGGUGCGAAAGCAGGUCAUAGUGAUCCGGUGGUUCUGAAUGGAAGGGCCAUCGCUCAACGGAUAAAAGGUACUCCGGGGAUAACAGGCUGAUACCGCCCAAGAGUUCAUAUCGACGGCGGUGUUUGGCACCUCGAUGUCGGCUCAUCACAUCCUGGGGCUGAAGUAGGUCCCAAGGGUAUGGCUGUUCGCCAUUUAAAGUGGUACGCGAGCUGGGUUUAGAACGUCGUGAGACAGUUCGGUCCCUA